RNAcentral lists this transfer RNA (69 nucleotides) under Ictidomys tridecemlineatus (thirteen-lined ground squirrel). Its description in RNAcentral is "Spermophilus tridecemlineatus (thirteen-lined ground squirrel) tRNA". It matches the Rfam family "tRNA". Rfam says of the family: Transfer RNA (tRNA) molecules are approximately 80 nucleotides in length. Their secondary structure includes four short double-helical elements and three loops (D, anti-codon, and T loops). The record is from Rfam by way of RNAcentral. Lineage: Eukaryota; Metazoa; Chordata; Mammalia; Rodentia; Sciuridae.
GGGGUUGUAGCUCAGUGGUAGAGCACUCACCUAGCAUGUGCAAGGCCCUGAGUUUGAUCCUCAGCACCA